UCAAGUGAAGAAGCGCAUACGGUGGAUGCCUUGGCAGUCAGAGGCGAUGAAAGACGUGGUAGCCUGCGAAAAGCUUCGGGGAGUCGGCAAACAGACUGUGAUCCGGAGAUAUCUGAAUGGGGGAACCCAGCCAUCAUAAGAUGGUUAUCUUGUACUGAAUACAUAGGUGCAAGAGGCGAACCAGGGGAACUGAAACAUCUAAGUACCCUGAGGAAAAGAAAUCAACCGAGAUUCCCUUAGUAGUGGCGAGCGAACGGGGACCAGCCCUUAAGUUGUAUUGAGAUUAGCGGAACGUUCUGGAAAGGACGGCCAUAGUGGGUGAUAGCCCUGUACGCGAAAAUCCCUUUGCAAUGAAAUCGAGUAGGACGGGGCACGAGAAACCUUGUCUGAAUAUGGGGGGACCAUCCUCCAAGGCUAAAUACUACUGACUGACCGAUAGUGAACCAGUACCGUGAGGGAAAGGCGAAAAGAACCGCGGAGAGCGGAGUGAAAUAGAUCCUGAAACCGUAUGCGUACAAGCAGUGGGAGCCCACUUUGUUGGGUGACUGCGUACCUUUUGUAUAAUGGGUCAGCGACUUAUUUUCAGUGGCGAGCUUAACCGAAUAGGGGAGGCGUAGCGAAAGCGAGUCUUAAUAGGGCGUCUAGUCGCUGGGAAUAGACCCGAAACCGGGCGAUCUAUCCAUGGGCAGGUUGAAGGUUGGGUAACACUAACUGGAGGACCGAACCGACUACCGUUGAAAAGUUAGCGGAUGACCUGUGGAUCGGAGUGAAAGGCUAAUCAAGCUCGGAGAUAGCUGGUUCUCCUCGAAAGCUAUUUAGGUAGCGCCUCAUGUAUCACUGUAGGGGGUAGAGCACUGUUUCGGCUAGGGGGUCAUCCCGACUUACCAAACCGAUGCAAACUCCGAAUACCUACAAGUGCCGAGCAUGGGAGACACACGGCGGGUGCUAACGUCCGUCGUGAAAAGGGAAACAACCCAGACCGUCAGCUAAGGUCCCAAAGUCAUGGUUAAGUGGGAAACGAUGUGGGAAGGCUUAGACAGCUAGGAGGUUGGCUUAGAAGCAGCCACCCUUUAAAGAAAGCGUAAUAGCUCACUAGUCGAGUCGGCCUGCGCGGAAGAUGUAACGGGGCUCAAACCAUGCACCGAAGCUACGGGUAUCAUCUUUUGAUGAUGCGGUAGAGGAGCGUUCUGUAAGCCUGUGAAGGUGAGUUGAGAAGCUUGCUGGAGGUAUCAGAAGUGCGAAUGCUGACAUGAGUAACGACAAUGGGUGUGAAAAACACCCACGCCGAAAGACCAAGGUUUCCUGCGCAACGUUAAUCGACGCAGGGUUAGUCGGUCCCUAAGGCGAGGCUGAAAAGCGUAGUCGAUGGAAAACAGGUUAAUAUUCCUGUACUUCUGGUUAUUGCGAUGGAGGGACGGAGAAGGCUAGGCCAGCCUGGCGUUGGUAGUCCAGGUUUAAGGUGGUAGGCUGAGAUCUUAGGUAAAUCCGGGAUCUUAAGGCCGAGAGCUGAUGACGAGUGUUCUUUUAGAACACGAAGUGGUUGAUGCCAUGCUUCCAAGAAAAGCUUCUAAGCUUCAGGUAACCAGGAACCGUACCCCAAACCGACACAGGUGGUUGGGUAGAGAAUACCAAGGCGCUUGAGAGAACUCGGGUGAAGGAACUAGGCAAAAUGGCACCGUAACUUCGGGAGAAGGUGCGCCGGUGGAGGUGAAGCAUUUACUGCGUAAGCCCCUGCCGGUCGAAGAUACCAGGCCGCUGCGACUGUUUAUUAAAAACACAGCACUCUGCAAACACGAAAGUGGACGUAUAGGGUGUGACGCCUGCCCGGUGCCGGAAGGUUAAUUGAUGGGGUUAGCGCAAGCGAAGCUCUUGAUCGAAGCCCCGGUAAACGGCGGCCGUAACUAUAACGGUCCUAAGGUAGCGAAAUUCCUUGUCGGGUAAGUUCCGACCUGCACGAAUGGCGUAACGAUGGCGGCGCUGUCUCCACCCGAGACUCAGUGAAAUUGAAAUCGCUGUGAAGAUGCAGUGUAUCCGCGGCUAGACGGAAAGACCCCGUGAACCUUUACUAUAGCUUUGCACUGGACUUUGAAUUUGCUUGUGUAGGAUAGGUGGGAGGCUUUGAAGCGUGGACGCCAGUUCGCGUGGAGCCAACCUUGAAAUACCACCCUGGCAACUUUGAGGUUCUAACUCAGGUCCGUUAUCCGGAUCGAGGACAGUGUAUGGUGGGUAGUUUGACUGGGGCGGUCUCCUCCUAAAGAGUAACGGAGGAGUACGAAGGUGCGCUCAGACCGGUCGGAAAUCGGUCGUAGAGUAUAAAGGCAAAAGCGCGCUUGACUGCGAGACAGACACGUCGAGCAGGUACGAAAGUAGGUCUUAGUGAUCCGGUGGUUCUGUAUGGAAGGGCCAUCGCUCAACGGAUAAAAGGUACUCCGGGGAUAACAGGCUGAUACCGCCCAAGAGUUCAUAUCGACGGCGGUGUUUGGCACCUCGAUGUCGGCUCAUCACAUCCUGGGGCUGAAGCCGGUCCCAAGGGUAUGGCUGUUCGCCAUUUAAAGUGGUACGCGAGCUGGGUUUAGAACGUCGUGAGACAGUUCGGUUCCUAUCUGCCGUGGACGUUUGAGAUUUGAGAGGGGCUGCUCCUAGUACGAGAGGACCGGAGUGGACGAACCUCUGGUGUUCCGGUUGUCACGCCAGUGGCAUUGCCGGGUAGCUAUGUUCGGAAAAGAUAACCGCUGAAAGCAUCUAAGCGGGAAACUUGCCUCAAGAUGAGAUCUCACUGGAACCUUGAGUUCCCUAAAGGGCCGUCGAAGACUACGACGUUGAUAGGUUGGGUGUGUAAGCGCUGUGAGGCGUUGAGCUAACCAAUACUAAUUGCCCGUGAGGCUUGACCAU
This 2892-nucleotide ribosomal RNA is filed under the name Pseudomonas cerasi. Its description in RNAcentral is "bacterial LSU rRNA". It matches the Rfam family "Bacterial large subunit ribosomal RNA". The record is from RNAcentral. Lineage: Bacteria; Pseudomonadati; Pseudomonadota; Gammaproteobacteria; Pseudomonadales; Pseudomonadaceae.